CCUACGGGAGGCAGCAGUAGGGAAUAUUGCUCAAUGGGGGAAACCCUGAAGCAGCAACGCCGCGUGGAGGAUGAAGGUUUUCGGAUUGUAAACUCCUUUUGUUAGAGAAGAAAAUGACGGUACCUAACGAAUAAGCACCGGCUAACUCCGUGCCAGCAGCCGCGGUAAUACGGAGGGUGCAAGCGUUACUCGGAAUCACUGGGCGUAAAGAGCGCGUAGGCGGGAUAGCAAGUCAGAUGUGAAAUCCUAUGGCUUAACCAUAGAACUGCAUUUGAAACUGUGAGUCUAGAGUAUGGGAGAGGUAGGUGGAAUUCUUGGUGUAGAGGUGAAAUGCGUAGAGAUCAAGAGGAAUACUCAUUGCGAAGGCGGCCUGCUAGACCAUAACUGACGCUGAUGCGCGAAAGCGUGGGGAGCAAACAGGAUUAGAUACCCUAGUAGUC
Molecule: ribosomal RNA, 440 nt
Filed under: uncultured bacterium
Lineage: Bacteria
Description: partial 16S ribosomal RNA
Rfam family: Bacterial small subunit ribosomal RNA
Source: RNAcentral